Molecule: ribosomal RNA, 430 nt
Filed under: Bacillota bacterium
Lineage: Bacteria; Bacillati; Bacillota
Description: Firmicutes bacterium partial 16S ribosomal RNA
Rfam family: Bacterial small subunit ribosomal RNA
Source: RNAcentral
UGGGGAAUAUUGGACAAUGGGCGCAAGCCUGAUCCAGCCAUGCCGCGUGUGUGAAGAAGGCCUUUUGGUUGUAAAGCACUUUAAGCGAGGAGGAGGCUACUUGGAUUAAUACUCUAGGAUAGUGGACGUUACUCGCAGAAUAAGCACCGGCUAACUCUGUGCCAGCAGCCGCAGUAAUACAGAGGGUGCGAGCGUUAAUCGGAUUUACUGGGCGUAAAGCGUGCGUAGGCGGCUUUUUAAGUCGGAUGUGAAAUCCCUGAGCUUAACUUAGGAAUUGCAUUCGAUACUGGGAAGCUAGAGUAUGGGAGAGGAUGGUAGAAUUCCAGGUGUAGCGGUGAAAUGCGUAGAGAUCUAGAGGAAUACCGAUGGAGAAGGCAGCCAUCUGGCCUAAUACUGACGCUGAGGUACGAAAGCAUGGGGAGCAAACAGG